Molecule: unclassified non-coding RNA, 240 nt
Filed under: soil metagenome
Description: partial contains 5.8S ribosomal RNA, internal transcribed spacer 2, and large subunit ribosomal RNA
Source: RNAcentral
AACGGUCUAUACCUGCGGUACCUGCGGAGGGAUCAUUAUAGAGUGGUAAACCCCCCGUAAAAGGGGGGGACCUCCUGUCCUUUGUAGGCUCUUUUUUAAAAGGGCUUUUUUUAAUUUUCUGCUUCGGUGGGGUUAUCCCACCGGAACAACCUCAAAACUCUUAUCAAAAAAUCGUUCUGUCUGAGAACCUUUUAUAAUAAAAAAAAACUUUCAACAACGGAUCUCUAGAUCGGAAGAGCA